RNAcentral lists this signal recognition particle RNA (99 nucleotides) under Solibacillus sp. RNAcentral's name for it is "signal recognition particle sRNA small type". It matches the Rfam family "Bacterial small signal recognition particle RNA". From Rfam's summary of the family: The signal recognition particle (SRP) is a universally conserved ribonucleoprotein involved in the co-translational targeting of proteins to membranes. Archaeal SRP consists of a 7S RNA and homologues of the eukaryotic SRP19 and SRP54 proteins. In most bacteria, the SRP consists of a 4.5S RNA and the Ffh protein (a homologue of the eukaryotic SRP54 protein). Lineage: Bacteria; Bacillati; Bacillota; Bacilli; Caryophanales; Caryophanaceae. RNAcentral also lists the same sequence under 2 other names. The record is from RNAcentral.
AGGCAAGAUUUUUACGGCGUAUUCUUAUCGAACCAUGUCAGAUCCGGAAGGAAGCAGCAUUAAGGUAUUGAAUAUGGGUGUAAUUUUUUCUUCCUAGAG